Molecule: long non-coding RNA, 359 nt
Filed under: Solanum tuberosum (potato)
Lineage: Eukaryota; Viridiplantae; Streptophyta; Magnoliopsida; Solanales; Solanaceae
Description: long non-coding RNA (STUB_LNC002074)
Source: RNAcentral
CUGUCUUGAUGAUGUCAUGUAGUAGAACGGAUAGUAAGAAGCACAUUAGUUGAGGACUAACUGUAUGAAGCAAAAUCAAUGUUUUUACGCCUAAAACACUAGAGAGAGAGAGAGAGAGGGGCAUUUAGAAGCAAUAAUGUACCUAAAUAAACAAUCGACUGAGGAUAACUGUAAUGCACUUAAUAAACUAUAGACUGAUAAUCAACUGAUAUUUUAGAAGUUAAGAUAGAGUUUCCAAACAGAUUGAGGAUAAACGGUAUAUUGCAUCUGUAAUUCAUCAUUUAAUUAUCGGUGCUUUUAGCUAGUGAUAGUCUGAUAGAUUAUGAUAUCAAGAAAUGCAGGAGAACGAGCAAUAAGAC